RNAcentral lists this ribosomal RNA (265 nucleotides) under uncultured bacterium. RNAcentral's name for it is "partial 16S ribosomal RNA". It matches the Rfam family "Archaeal small subunit ribosomal RNA", at positions 474 to 738 of the family's 1478-position model. The record is from RNAcentral.
UACCAGCACCCCGAGUGGUCGGGACGUUUAUUGGGCCUAAAGCAUCCGUAGCCGGUUCUACAAGUCUUCCGUUAAAUCCAGCUGCUUAACAGAUGGGCUGCGGAAGAUACUAUGGAGCUAGGAGGCGGGAGAGGCAAGCGGUACUCGAUGGGUAGGGGUAAAAUCCGUUGAUCCAUUGAAGACCACCAGUGGCGAAGGCGGCUUGCCAGAACGCGCUCGACGGUGAGGGAUGAAAGCUGGGGGAGCAAACAGGAUUAAGAAACCC